UGUGGGUAGGGUUAGGGCAGGGCUGUCCAAACUCUGUCCUGGAGGGCCGGUGUCCUGCAGAGUUUAGCUCCAACCCCAAUUAAAAUCACCUGAACCAGCUAAUCAAGCUCUCAGGCAUAGAAACUUCCAGUCAGGUGUGUUGAGGCAAGUUGGAGCUAAACUCUGCAGGACACCGGCCCUCCAGGACCGAGUUUGGACAGCCCUGGGUUAGGGUGUGGUUGGAUAACCUAGCUCCACCUUUUAGGCACAAAUUACAUUCGCUCCUCCUCGCUGGACGUCUAGCAAGGAAGAGCGAGACGUAAACUCCACCCAUUUACUCUGCAGCUUUUUGUGCUGCUAAUUGCCAGAAGACCAGAAGAACUUGCUACCCUGUGCAAAGAAAUGCAAGUACUGGCAGUGCAUCAGAUGGAGAGAUUUAAAAGGUCAACAAAAGAUGGCUGCUGCUCACUUUGGACAGAGAUGGGGGAAGAAAAGAGUGGGUCCGAACGCAAACAAAUUCUUCUAAAGUCUGUCCCUCUUUUAGAGUACGCUUACUUGAGGAAUCUCCUGGAUUUUAUUUUUUUUCAAAUAAAUUCUAAUAUCGCUC
RNAcentral lists this long non-coding RNA (586 nucleotides) under Sinocyclocheilus grahami. Its description in RNAcentral is "lncRNA (ENSSGRG00000028049.1)". The record is from RNAcentral. Lineage: Eukaryota; Metazoa; Chordata; Actinopteri; Cypriniformes; Cyprinidae.